CAUUUUGGCAACCAACUUCUCUAACAAUUAACACAAACAAAAACCAAACCCAGAAACAAAAAUUAGUGGCGUCUUCUUCAUAAUCAUCAAUGGACGACAAAGCAUUUUCAGAGAGAGUAAAAAAAACAUUUGGAUCUUUAUUCGCAACCCUUGAACCAUCUCCAUCAUCUCUUUCAAAUCCACUUUGGUCUCUUACAGAUGCGCAAGUUGAGAAGAAAGAAUGGCGUCGUGAUAAAGACACCUCUGCUAGAGAUGCUAACCCUUGUUCUUCUUCUUUUGAUGAUUUUAUCUCUCAUGCCCGUAAAAAUUCCCGUAAAAAUCUUAAGAAUUAUCGUAAGGAGUUUAAGGAAGAUGAACUUCAAGAUCUUGAUAUUGAUGAAGAUGAAGAUGAUGAAGAAGGUGGGAAAGUUGAUGUGAAUGAUUGGGAUGUGAAAGGUUCAAUUGGGUUGGAUUCUACUCUUGAUAAUGAGGCAGAAGAAGAUGAUUUUGACAAAGUUGCCGUAGGAAGGGAGAAUGCUGGUGACCGUUUGUAUAUGGGAGACAUUAUUGGUAGACAUGAUUCUCAUUUAAGCUCUCAGGAUGACCUCCUUGCUGCUGUUGGGAGCAGUGGAAGGGAUCCUCGUGCUAAUCGUUUUGCUGCAAGGAUUAGACUGAAAGAAGAUGAUGUAGAAGCAUCUGCACAACACAAACCUAGGCAGUCCCCUGCAACAUCUGAAAAAUAUUGUUCUAUGUCAGCAGAUGGCAGCGAAAAGCUGAAGCCUAUACUUAAAAGGAAGGAGCAUGACUCGGGUUCAAAGCCAUCGAAACGUGUCAGAUUCGACCCUGUAUGCAUAAGCAAUGCUGAGAGAGCUGAAGAACUUCCGAGUAAUAAUACUUCUGUGGAAACCACAACCCAAGUUGAUGGGUCUUUGUUAGAUGAGAAAGUUUCUGGGGUCCCAGGUUAUGCGCGAAAUCCUUCCAGUUACACGCGGUAUAGUCUUGAUUCUUCUGAUGAAAUGAGCGAUAAGUCAAAUACAGGUGCUUACUUGGACUUUGUUGAGAUGGUGAAUAAGGAAAAGCAGGGCGGAUCAGGAUCUGACUCAGAUGUUGAUGCUAAUCUCCCGAAAUCAAUAACGUUUGUUCCAAAGAAAAAGUCAGAGACUUCUAAAGGUGAUCAUAGUGAAUCAGGUCAAGAAAAAGAAAGUGAUGUGAAGUGUCCCUCGUUUCAAUCAACCUUUCUGGAUGUGGCAGUCGAAGAGCAAGAGACUGAAGUUGGGGACAUGGAAGUUGAUGAGCCUGAAAGAAGUGAAGAGCCUGACCAAGGCAUCACAUUUAGAAAACAGGGUCGCCAGUAUCGGAAGUCCCAGGCAGAUGAGCCUUCCUAGACUGUUGCUCGUUAGUUUCCCUUUAUAACUUCUGCUAGCUCUCUACACCCUUUGGUGAACAUGUGGGCUCAUUCAUGGACCGGUUUUUCCAAAAACUAUGAAAAACUGAGCUGUCGGGUGUACCGGUGUAUACACCUGGUGAUUUCCCUACCCCAAGUCCCCAACGAGGCAACUGGUGCCUGCUUGGCGGUAGAAGGCUGAUCUACAUGGAAUGCAUGCUGUAUUGAUAUACGAUUAGUGAUCCAUUGACAGGACUACACAAGUUUGGUAGCUAAGUGCUAUGUAGAAUUUGACGUGGAAACUACAUCUGUUUAUUUUCAUUUGCUAUAAUUAUUCAGAAGAAUUUGUUACAGACAAGUAUGGCAAAUUCUGAGAGUUUACAGGAAGCCUGCUUUCACCUGCAUUUUCACCCUGCGGAUCGUGUAGCGUCGCUAAGUUAUACUCCCUAGUAAGGCUACUGGCAUUUUACACUAUAUACAAGCUUCAUAGUAAAAACACUGGGAACUUUGAUCUGAAUUCCCAAAACAGGUGUUAUCGCCUCUUACGGAUUCGCACACAAUAGGCUGAAUAGGAUGGACACAAGUUAUCCUUGAGAUAAAAUGGUGUCAUCAGGUAUGAUGUAUUUGUUGUUUGGAUAUAGAAAUGUGUGUUAUCAGCAGAAUCAUUCUUUGUUAAUCUCAUUAUUCAUGAUUUAACUA
This is an RNA transcript of Beta vulgaris subsp. vulgaris (sugar beet), 2062 nucleotides long. RefSeq lists it as hypothetical. NCBI's taxonomy places the organism in Eukaryota, Viridiplantae, Streptophyta, Magnoliopsida, Caryophyllales, Amaranthaceae. The transcript has 3 exons. The record is from RefSeq and is a predicted model, not a curated record.